This 449-nucleotide ribosomal RNA is filed under the name Aplanochytrium stocchinoi. Its description in RNAcentral is "partial Bacterial small subunit ribosomal RNA". It matches the Rfam family "Bacterial small subunit ribosomal RNA", at positions 1050 to 1496 of the family's 1533-position model. The record is from RNAcentral. Lineage: Eukaryota; Bigyra; Thraustochytrida; Thraustochytriidae.
UGUCGUCAGCUCGUGUCGUGAGAUGUUGGGUUAAGUCCCGCAACGAGCGCAACCCUCGUUCUAUGUUGCCAGCACGUUAUGGUGGGGACUCAUAGGAGACUGCCGGGGUCAACUCGGAGGAAGGUGGGGAUGACGUCAAGUCAUCAUGCCCCUUAUGUCCAGGGCUUCACGCAUGCUACAAUGGCCGGUACAAAGGGCUGCGAUACCGCGAGGUGGAGCGAAUCCCAAAAAGCCGGUCUCAGUUCGGAUUGGGGUCUGCAACUCGACCCCAUGAAUUCGGAGUCGCUAGUAAUCGCACAUCAGCAACGCUGCGGUGAAUACGUUCCCGGGCCUUGUACACACCGCCCGUCACGUCACGAAAGUCGGCAACACCCGAAGCCGGUGGCCCAACCCUUGUGGAGGGAGCCGUCGAAGGUGGGGCUGGCGAUUGGGACGAAGUCGAAACAAGG